Molecule: ribosomal RNA, 526 nt
Filed under: uncultured bacterium
Lineage: Bacteria
Description: bacterial SSU rRNA
Rfam family: Bacterial small subunit ribosomal RNA
Source: RNAcentral
UAGUCCACGCCGUAAACGAUGUCAACUAGCCGUUGGUCGGGUUACCGAUUAGUGGCGCAGCUAACGCAUUAAGUUGACCGCCUGGGGAGUACGGUCGCAAGAUUAAAACUCAAAGGAAUUGACGGAGGCCCGCACAAGCGGUGGAGCAUGUGGUUUAAUUCGAUGCAACGCGAAGAACCUUACCUACCCUUGACAUUGACAGAACCUCGUAGAGAUACUUGGGUGCCUUCGGGCCUGGAAAACAGGUGCUGCAUGGCUGUCGUCAGCCCGUGUCGUGAGAUGUUGGGUUAAGUCCCGUAACGAGCGCAACCCUUGUCCUUAGUUGCCAGCGCGUAAUGGCGGGAACUCUAAGGAGACUGCCGGUGACAAACCGGAGGAAGGUGGGGACGACGUCAAGUCAUCAUGGCCCUUACGACCUGGGCUACACACGUGCUACAAUGGAACGCACAGAGGGCAGCAAACCCGCGAGGGGAGCGAAUCCCACAAAACGUUUCGUAGUCCGGAUUGGAGUCUGCAACUCGACUCC